This 253-nucleotide ribosomal RNA is filed under the name uncultured bacterium. Its description in RNAcentral is "partial 16S ribosomal RNA". It matches the Rfam family "Bacterial small subunit ribosomal RNA", at positions 524 to 776 of the family's 1533-position model. RNAcentral also lists the same sequence under 1 other name. The record is from RNAcentral.
UACGGAGGGUGCAAGCGUUAUCCGGAUUCACUGGGUUUAAAGGGUGCGUAGGUUGAUAGGUAAGUCAGUGGUGAAAUACUCCGACUCAAUCGGAGAACUGCCGUUGAUACUAUCUAUCUUGAAUACGGUGGAGGCGGGCGGAAUGCGUCAUGUAGUGGUGAAAUACUUAGAUAUGACGCAGAACACCUAUUGCGAAGGCAGCUCGCUACACCGGCAUUGACACUGAGGCACGAAAGCGUGGGGAUCAAACAGG